This 264-nucleotide unclassified non-coding RNA is filed under the name air metagenome. RNAcentral describes it as "partial contains small subunit ribosomal RNA, internal transcribed spacer 1, and 5.8S ribosomal RNA". The stretch from base 1 to 46 matches the Rfam family "Eukaryotic small subunit ribosomal RNA", at positions 1786 to 1831 of the family's 1831-position model. The record is from RNAcentral.
AAGUCGUAACAAGGUUUCCGUAGGUGAACCUGCGGAAGGAUCAUUAAAGAGAUAGGGUUCUCACGAGCCCGACCUCCAACCCUUUGUUUACUAAACCACUGUUGCCUCGGCGGGUCGUCGGUUCCCUUUACCGGGUGCCGCCGUCGGCCCUCGCGCUCUCGAGUGCCCGCCGCAGGACCAUUGAAACUCCUUUAUAAUCGAGUAUAAUCUGAGUGGAAUUUAAUGCUUCAAUUAAAACUUUCAACAACGGAUCUCUUGGUUCUG